UACGGGGGGGGCAAGCGUUGUUCGGAAUUACUGGGCGUAAAGGGCGCGUAGGCGGGCUACCAAGUCUGUGGUGAAAUCCUCCGGCUCAACCGGAGAACUGCCGUGGAUACUGGGAGCCUCGAGGGAGAUAGGGGCGUGCGGAACUGAUGGUGGAGCGGUGAAAUGCGUUGAUAUCAUCAGGAACUCCGGUGGCGAAGGCGGCACGCUGGAUCUCAUCUGACGCUGAUGCGCGAAAGCCAGGGGAGCAAACGGG
This 253-nucleotide ribosomal RNA is filed under the name uncultured bacterium. RNAcentral describes it as "partial 16S ribosomal RNA". It matches the Rfam family "Bacterial small subunit ribosomal RNA", at positions 524 to 776 of the family's 1533-position model. The record is from RNAcentral.